UAAUGUAACGGAUUUCGGCCUCGUUGUUCAACAGUUUGUGUCCCCUCCCCUUUUUCACUUUUUAUCAAGUUAAAUCUCUGUUUAAACCGUAUUGGAUACUUAUAAAUUUUUGAAUAUGUUUCUUUUUAUUAGAAUAAGUUAUCUUAGAUAUUUAUUAUGAACAGUAACUUGAGCAAAGAUAAAUAUAACGUCAAGUCCCACCUGAAACGGAGUCGCCUUUCUAUUUAUUUUUGUAGUGUAAAUACAGAAUUUCCUUAUACUGGACCUACCUUUAUAUAUUUGUUGAUGAUUGUAUUAUGUUGUUUUAAUCUCUAUGUAUAAUUAUAUUGAGUGAAUUAGUUAACCUGGUCAAGUUUCUAGAGACUCAGAGUCUCUCUUUUUCCUUGUAAUGUCCGCCAUGUUUACUUGAGUCGCUUUACCGUAAACCGUCAAAGUGCACUGUCG
Molecule: long non-coding RNA, 444 nt
Filed under: Mytilus galloprovincialis (Mediterranean mussel)
Lineage: Eukaryota; Metazoa; Mollusca; Bivalvia; Mytilida; Mytilidae
Source: RNAcentral